CAGCCGCCGCGGUAAGACAGAGGAUGCAAGCGUUAUCCGGAAUGAUUGGGCGUAAAGCGUCUGUAGGUGGCUUUUCAAGUCCGCCGUCAAAUCCCAGGGCUCAACCCUGGACAGGCGGUGGAAACUACCAAGCUGGAGUACGGUAGGGGCAGAGGGAAUUUCCGGUGGAGCGGUGAAAUGCGUAGAUAUGCGGAGGAACACCGAUGGCGAAGGCAAUCCCCUGGGCCUGUACUGACGCUCAUGCACGAAAGCGUGGGGAGCAAACAGGAUUAGAUACCCGCGUAGUCCCUGUCUCUUAUAU
This 301-nucleotide ribosomal RNA is filed under the name uncultured bacterium. RNAcentral's name for it is "partial 16S ribosomal RNA". It matches the Rfam family "Bacterial small subunit ribosomal RNA", at positions 509 to 809 of the family's 1533-position model. The record is from RNAcentral.